UACGGGAGGCAGCAGUGAGGAAUCUUCCGCAAUGGACGAAAGUCUGACGGAGCAACGCCGCGUGAGCGAUGAAGGUCUUCGGAUCGUAAAGCUCUGUUGUUAGGGAAGAACAAGUACGAGAGUAACUGCUCGUACCUUGACGGUACCUAACCAGAAAGCCACGGCUAACUACGUGCCAGCAGCCGCGGUAAU
RNAcentral lists this ribosomal RNA (192 nucleotides) under uncultured Bacillus sp. RNAcentral describes it as "partial 16S ribosomal RNA". It matches the Rfam family "Bacterial small subunit ribosomal RNA", at positions 340 to 524 of the family's 1533-position model. The record is from RNAcentral. Lineage: Bacteria; Bacillati; Bacillota; Bacilli; Caryophanales; Bacillaceae.